RNAcentral lists this ribosomal RNA (498 nucleotides) under uncultured bacterium. Its description in RNAcentral is "partial 16S ribosomal RNA". It matches the Rfam family "Bacterial small subunit ribosomal RNA", at positions 28 to 508 of the family's 1533-position model. The record is from RNAcentral.
GAUGAACGCUGGCGGCGUGCCUAAUACAUGCAAGUCGAGCGAACAGACGAGGAGCUUGCUCCUCUGACGUUAGCGGCGGACGGGUGAGUAACACGUGGAUAACCUACCUAUAAGACUGGGAUAACUUCGGGAAACCGGAGCUAAUACCGGAUAAUAUAUUGAACCGCAUGGUUCAAUAGUGAAAGACGGUUUUGCUGUCACUUAUAGAUGGAUCCGCGCCGCAUUAGCUAGUUGGUAAGGUAACGGCUUACCAAGGCAACGAUGCGUAGCCGACCUGAGAGGGUGAUCGGCCACACUGGAACUGAGACACGGUCCAGACUCCUACGGGAGGCAGCAGUAGGGAAUCUUCCGCAAUGGGCGAAAGCCUGACGGAGCAACGCCGCGUGAGUGAUGAAGGUCUUCGGAUCGUAAAACUCUGUUAUUAGGGAAGAACAAAUGUGUAAGUAACUAUGCACGUCUUGACGGUACCUAAUAAGAAAGCCACGGCUAACUACGUGC